Molecule: long non-coding RNA, 318 nt
Filed under: Oryza brachyantha (malo sina)
Lineage: Eukaryota; Viridiplantae; Streptophyta; Magnoliopsida; Poales; Poaceae
Description: long non-coding RNA (OBRA_LNC000642)
Source: RNAcentral
CCUCACGUAUGCUUAUUAUCUUAUUCAUUAGCUAUCCAAUUAAAGGAUUCAUUUAACCUCCACGGGUUAAAUCCAUUUAGAAUAUAAAAUAACCUAACCAAAUCCAGUCCAUAUCAAUCCAUUUAUAUCUAUAACACAAUCCAAUUUACAUCAUUUGGAAGAUAUAAUCCAUUUACACUCAACCAAACACGAUCCAAAUUAAAACCAACCCAUUUAACUCAUUUUCAUCUAUCCAGGCGGAGCGGAUUACCGGGCGGUGUCGGCACGCAGAUGUCGAGGGAAACGGGUGCGAUCCGUCGAAAAAUUUCAAGCAUUUCG